GACGAACGCUGGCGGCGUGCCUAAUACAUGCAAGUCGAGCGGAACUGGGGGAGCUUGCUCCUUCCAGUUUAGCGGCGGACGGGUGAGUAACACGUGGGCAACCUGCCCUGCAGAUCGGGAUAACUCCGGGAAACCGGUGCUAAUACCGAAUAGUUUGGCGCCUCUCCUGAGGCGCCACGGAAAGACGGUUUCGGCUGUCACUGCCGGAUGCGCCCGCGGCGCAUUAGCUAGUUGGGGGGGUAACGGCCCACCAAGGCGACGAUGCGUAGCCGACCUGAGAGGGUGACCGGCCACACUGGGACUGAGACACGGCCCAGACUCCUACGGGAGGCAGCAGUAGGGAAUCUUCCGCAAUGGACGCAAGUCUGACGGAGCAACGCCGCGUGAGUGACGAAGGUUUUCGGAUCGUAAAACUCUGUUGUGAGGGAAGAACACGUACCAACUAACUAUUGGUACCUUGACGGUACCUCACCAGAAAGCCACGGCUAACUACGUGCCAGCCGCCGCCGUAA
Molecule: ribosomal RNA, 512 nt
Filed under: uncultured bacterium
Lineage: Bacteria
Description: partial 16S ribosomal RNA
Rfam family: Bacterial small subunit ribosomal RNA
Source: RNAcentral